AGUAAAAUGUCUGAUAAAAGUGAUAAAUUGUAAAUUUAUUUAUAAGAUUAAUUCUUUUUUACUA
This 64-nucleotide transfer RNA is filed under the name Ceraclea indistincta. RNAcentral's name for it is "tRNA-Tyr". Lineage: Eukaryota; Metazoa; Arthropoda; Insecta; Trichoptera; Leptoceridae. The record is from RNAcentral.